CUACGUGCCAGCAGCCGCGGUAAUACGGAAGGUUCGGGCGUUAUCCGGAUUUAUUGGGUUUAAAGGGAGCGUAGGCCGGAGAUUAAGUGUGUUGUGAAAUGUAGACGCUCAACGUCUGACUUGCAGCGCAUACUGGUUUCCUUGAGUACGCACAACGUUGGCGGAAUUCGUCGUGUAGCGGUGAAAUGCUUAGAUAUGACGAAGAACUCCGAUUGCGAAGGCAGCUGACGGGAGCGCCACUGACGCUUAAGCUCGAAGGUGCGGGUAUCGAACAGGAUUAGAUACCCUGGUAGUCCGCACAGUAAACGAUGGAUGCCCGCUGUUGGUACCUGGUAUCAGCGGCUAAGCGAAAGCAUUAAGCAUCCCACCUGGGGAGUACGCCGGCAACGGUGAAACUCAAAGGAAUUGACGGGGGCCCGCACAAGCGGUGGAGCAUGUGGUUUAAUUCGAUGCAACGCGAAGAACCUUACC
This 471-nucleotide ribosomal RNA is filed under the name uncultured bacterium. Its description in RNAcentral is "bacterial SSU rRNA". It matches the Rfam family "Bacterial small subunit ribosomal RNA", at positions 501 to 975 of the family's 1533-position model. The record is from RNAcentral.